AGCUCCAAUAGCGUAUAUUAAAGUUGUUGCAGUUAAAAAGCUCGUAGUUGAAUUUGUGGAGGCGCCUGCGGUCCAAAAUGUUUUGGUACUGUCGGGCGCAUCCAUCUUUGGGUGGAACCUGUGGGGCAUUAGGUUGUUCUGCAGGGGAUGCCCAUCGUUUACUGUGAAAAAAUUAGAGUGUUCAAAGCAGGCUUACGCCGUUGAAUAUAUUAGCAUGGAAUAAUGAGAUAGGACUUUGGUACUAUUUUGUUGGUUUGCGCACCAAAGUAAUGAUUAAUAGGGACAGUUGGGGGUAUUCGUAUUCCAUUGUCAGAGGUGAAAUUCUUGGAUUUUUGGAAGACGAACUACUGCGAAAGCAUUUACCAAGGAUGUUUUCAUUAAUCAAGAACGAAAGUACGCA
Molecule: ribosomal RNA, 400 nt
Filed under: phytoplankton environmental sample
Lineage: Eukaryota
Description: partial small subunit ribosomal RNA
Rfam family: Eukaryotic small subunit ribosomal RNA
Source: RNAcentral